This is an RNA transcript of Rhodamnia argentea, 2196 nucleotides long. It is a transcript of the gene named cytochrome P450 94C1-like, with no coding region annotated. The record is from RefSeq and is a predicted model, not a curated record. Lineage: Eukaryota; Viridiplantae; Streptophyta; Magnoliopsida; Myrtales; Myrtaceae. The transcript has 2 exons.
AAAUAAAAAAUAAAAAUAAAAAUAAAAAACCUCGUCCAUUCAAGUGGCAUCGAUUAAAAGCCUUCAUUGGUCAGUGCACUCAUUCCACUAGACUUCUCUCAUUAUCUAAAAAGGGAAAACCAAACAUCAAUGGAGUCCCCAAGCUGGAGGUGUUUUCUGAACCUUCAAGACCGUCCGAGCUUCUUCAUCGUCUUCCUCGUCACCCUUGUCUUCCUCGUCUUUGUCUUGUACCUCACGAGGCCCAAACUAUGGUGCAACUGCGAGGUAUGCCAAACCUACCUUUCCCUCGGCUGGUCGAAGAAGUAUGCCAAUCUUUGCGAUUGGUACGCUCAUCUCCUCCGGAGCUCACCGACCAAGACGGUCCACAUACACGUCCUUGGCAACACAAUCACGGCCAACCCGGAUAACGUCGAGUACAUGCUCAAGAAGAGGUUCGAGAACUACCCGAAGGGGAAGCCCUUCUCGACCAUCUUGGGAGAUUUCCUUGGCCGAGGGAUUUUCAAUGUCGACGGCGACCUGUGGAAGUUUCAGAAGAAGAUGGCGAACCUAGAGCUUGAUAAGUUCGCGGUACGAUCCUACGCGUUCGAGAUUGUCAAGUGUGAGAUCGAGAACCGGCUCGUGACUCUCUUGUCCUCCGUUGAGGGCGAGAAGGGCGGAGUCCUCGACUUGCAAGAUGUGUUCAAAAGAUUUUCAUUCGACUGCAUAUGUAGGUUCUCGUUCGGCCUGGACCCGAGAUGCCUAGAGCUGUCCUUGCCCAUGUCGGAAUUCGCUCUUUCCUUCGACUUGGCAUCUAAAUUGUCCGCUGAACGAGCCAUGGAGGCAUCACCUUUAGUGUGGAAGAUCAAAAGGGCGUUCAAUUUGGGGAGUGAGAAGAGACUAAAGGAAGCAAUUAACAUGAUCAACAUUCUCGCUCUCGAAGUCAUAAGGCAAAAGCGCAAGGUUGGAUUCUCUAACCACAGAGAUCUCCUAUCCCGCUUCAUGCGCAAAGUGAGCGACGAGACAUACCUGAGGGACAUCAUCGUGAGCUUUCUUCUAGCUGGCCGCGACACAGUCGCGUCGGCCCUGACCAGCUUCUUUUGGCUGAUGGCCAAGAACCCUCGAGUGAGAUCGAAAAUCCAUGCCGAGCUGGAUCGUGUGAUGGGCGAUCAAGAGCUGGUGAGCUACGAUCAAAUCCGGGAACUCCCUUACUUGCAAGCUGCGAUUUAUGAGAGCAUGAGGCUCUAUCCUCCCAUACAGUUCGAUUCAAAAUUUUGCGAGAAAGAUGAUAUCUUGCCCGACGGGACAUUUGUGAAGAGAGGCACGAGGGUUACUUACCACCCGUACGCGAUGGGUCGGAUCGAGGAUAUAUGGGGUCUGGAUUGCUCGGAGUACAAGCCGGAGAGGUGGCUGAACAACGGCAUCUUCUUCGCAGAGAACCCGUACAAGUAUCCGGUCUUCCAAGCCGGGCUUAGGGUUUGUCUGGGGAAAGAAAUGGCUCUCUUGGAGCUGAAAAGCGUGGCGGUCUCGUUGCUGCGGAGAUUCCAGAUAGAGCUGGUGACCCCAGACCAAGUGAUCCAAUUCUCUCCGGGGCUCACUGCCACCAUCGGCGGGGGUCUUCCGGUCGUUAUACGAGGAAUCUGAAGCCCCACAAGCAGACAUCGCAGGUUCGUCCCGUUUGGGUUGCUAACUUCCUCUUCCCAUAAGCCGAGGGGGGGCAAUAGAUUACUAUGUUUGUGCAAAUACCAUGUGAUAUUUCCUCUUUUGUUGCAUCUACAUGGCACGCGUUUGUAGCCUAUGGUGCGAAUUUGAUAAAUACGCUUGUGGGUGUUCCUAUUUUUUUCCCCCCUUCCGACGUACCUAUUAGAAUUUGAUGGGUGUCAUCCAAGAAAAGAAAGGCGGAAGUGGUGGUCCGAAAUUGGAUCUAAAUGGUCUUCAAGGACCCCUCCCUCUCUCAAACCCAGAUGAACAGAAACGUCUGGCCAGUGUUGGUGGUGCCUUGUGCGUUCUUUCUUGUGGGAAAUGAUGGGUAAUUGACGUUCUUUAUUAUUGUCGCUUUCCUUGUUUUUAUUUUUGAAGAUUCUCGUUAUGUGAAGCUCUCGUUCUUUGUUGUUGUUGGGGGAGAAGAAAAUGUAUCCACGUGGGAAUCAAGCGAGUGAAUCAAACAUGUAAUCAUGCUUAUUUCCAUGAUGGAAACGAUUUAUUUUUGCUAUAUACUUU